Molecule: ribosomal RNA, 300 nt
Filed under: uncultured archaeon
Lineage: Archaea
Description: bacterial SSU rRNA
Rfam family: Bacterial small subunit ribosomal RNA
Source: RNAcentral
GGAAACUGCGGGCCAGAGGCGGCGGUAAUUGGUGGGGUGGGGUCUUGUGCCGGAAUUCGUGGGGUUAAGAGGCUCGUAGGGGGUUUGGCGGGUCGUCUGGGAAAUUCCGGGGCUUAACUCCGGGUGGGCAGGCGAUACGGGCAUAACUUGAGUACUGUAGGGGAGACUGGAAUUCCUGGUGUAGCGGUGAAAUGCGCAGAUAUCAGGAGGAACACCGGUGGCGAAGGCGGGUCUCUGGGCAGUAACUGACGCUGAGGAGCGAAAGCAUGGGGAGCGAACAGGAUUAGAUACCCUGGUAUC